Non-coding RNA from Mycena crocata, 96 nucleotides. The record is from the annotation of a GenBank genome assembly. Lineage: Eukaryota; Fungi; Basidiomycota; Agaricomycetes; Agaricales; Mycenaceae.
GCCUUGGUAGUGUAACGGUUACCACACCCCGGCCUUCUUUCUGUAGCAUCCGUAAACGUUCUCGGGGAGCUCCUGGUUCAAGUCCAGGCCAGGGCG